AGUAGUCAUUACCUCGUCUCAAAGAUUAAGCCAUGCAUGUGUAAGUGUAAAUAUACUAGUUUGGAACUGCGAAUGGCUCAUUAUAUCAGUUAUAGUUUAUUUGGUGAAGUGUACUACUUGGAUAACCGUAGUAAUUCUAGGGCUAAUACAUGAGAAAGUCCUCUGGUGAGGUGUGUUUAUUAGAAUGAAAACCAUAUGCUUCGGCAGUGGAGUAAUAGUAACCUAUCGUAUCGCAUGC
RNAcentral lists this ribosomal RNA (238 nucleotides) under uncultured Blastocystis sp. RNAcentral's name for it is "partial small subunit ribosomal RNA". It matches the Rfam family "Eukaryotic small subunit ribosomal RNA", at positions 19 to 276 of the family's 1831-position model. Lineage: Eukaryota; Bigyra; Opalinata; Blastocystidae. The record is from RNAcentral.